Molecule: long non-coding RNA, 1111 nt
Filed under: Ananas comosus (pineapple)
Lineage: Eukaryota; Viridiplantae; Streptophyta; Magnoliopsida; Poales; Bromeliaceae
Description: long non-coding RNA (ACOM_LNC013616)
Source: RNAcentral
UUCUUUUCUCUUUUUUUUGAGAGAGAGAGAUAGGUAGCACGCUAUCCGCUUCGUUUAUUUCAUUUAAAAAUAAACUUAGCUAGAAAUGUGAAUCAACUAAGAUUCGAACUUGGGUCUCGAAUACCAACUACUAAGCCCUUUGCUACUUGCUCUAGGGACGGGUACCAACCACCAAGUACCUCGAUUCUUGUUAUUAUGAUUAUUCAUGUGAUGCUUCCUUCAUGCAUGUAUCUAUUAGGGGGUGUUUGGUCUAACUUUUUGAAAAGUGAUUUUGGGUAUAAAAGUAAUUUUUGACUCAAUAAAGCAUUUGACAAUUUCAUUUUCAAAAUCUGAUUUUAAUUUUUAGAAUCAAUUUUCUAAUUUUCGAAGCCCAAAAUCAGAAGCAAUUAAAACUUGCUUCUUAAAAUUUGAUUAUAAUUUUGGACUCAAAUUUUAACUUUUUUCUAAAUUUUCGAUUCAAAGUUUAAAAUUAAAUUUGAUUUUAAAUAUUAAAUAUUUAAUUUAUUUUUGAAUUUUUAUAUUAAAUUUUAAAUUUUAAAUUUUAAUUUCAAAUCUCAAAUUUUAAAUUUUAAAUUUUAAGAUAAAAUUUUAAAUUUUAAAUUUUAGAAAUUAAAAUUUAAUUAAAAAUUUAAAAUUUAAAAUUAUAUGAUUUAAUUUUUCAAAUUACAAAUUUCAAAUUUUUAAAAUUCAAAUUUUAAUUUUUAAAUUAUUAAAUUUAAAUUUUAUUUUUAAAUUUUUAAAUUCAAAAUUUAAAAUUUAAAUUUUAUAUUUCAAAUUUCAAAUUUUUACUUUUUAUAAUUUUGAAAUAUUAAUUUUGAAAUGUCAAAAUUUUACAUUAUUUUUUAAAUUAAAAUAUCAAAUCUUAAAUUUUGUACAAAUUUAAAAUUUUAAUUAAAAUUUUAAAUAAUUUUAAAAUAAAAUUUAAUUAAAAUAUUAUUAUAUACAAUCAUCAAAAUAUUUUUACCAAACAGUUUUACAAAAAAAUCAUUUGAGAAAAAUCACUUUUAUCUAAACUCAGCCAAACACUUUACAAUUCUUAACCCAAACCACUUUUGCAAAACAAAAUCAAUUAUGAAAAAAUCACUUUUUCAGAAUUAAUGAUGGAUGACAU